RNAcentral lists this unclassified non-coding RNA (244 nucleotides) under uncultured Angustimassarina. RNAcentral describes it as "sequence contains ITS2". Lineage: Eukaryota; Fungi; Ascomycota; Dothideomycetes; Pleosporales; Amorosiaceae. The record is from RNAcentral.
AACGCACAUUGCGCCCUUUGGUAUUCCUUAGGGCAUGCCUGUUCGAGCGUCAUUUACACCCUCAAGCACAGCUUGGUGUUGGGCGUCUGUCCCGCUUCGGCGCGGACUCGCCUCAAAACGAUUGGCAGCCACUUCAGCGGCUUUGAGCGCAGCAGAAUUGCGUCUCUCGUCGCGGCGGAUGGCAUCCAUCAAGCAACAUCUAUAUCUUGACCUCGGAUCAGGUAGGGAUACCCGCUGAACUUAA